GAAAUGCGAUACUUGGUGUGAAUUGCAGAAUCCCGUGAACCAUCGAGUCUUUGAACGCAAGUUGCGCCUGAAGCCAUUAGGCCGAGGGCGCAACUUGCGU
RNAcentral lists this unclassified non-coding RNA (100 nucleotides) under uncultured fungus. RNAcentral's name for it is "sequence contains ITS1". It matches the Rfam family "5.8S ribosomal RNA", at positions 50 to 142 of the family's 154-position model. From Rfam's summary of the family: 5.8S ribosomal RNA (5.8S rRNA) is a component of the large subunit of the eukaryotic ribosome. It is transcribed by RNA polymerase I as part of the 45S precursor that also contains 18S and 28S rRNA. Functionally, it is thought that 5.8S rRNA may be involved in ribosome translocation. The record is from RNAcentral. Lineage: Eukaryota; Fungi.